UUUCCGUAGGUGACCUGCGGAAGGAUCAUUAGUGAGUUGUCAUGGGGUUCGAUGCUGGCAGCCAGUUUUUGGAUGCAUGUGCUUGCCCUAACAAUCAUCUUCUUCCAAACACCUGUGCACAUUUUUGAGGGAGUCUUGAGUUGGUUGCCGCUCUUGGGUGAUUUUCUCACAUUCCCUUAAAUCAUUAUACGCUAUUAACAAUGUUGAACGUGCUCUGUGCCGCAAGGCCAUUAAUAUAAUACAACUUUUAACAACGGAUCUCUUGGCUCUC
Molecule: unclassified non-coding RNA, 271 nt
Filed under: plant metagenome
Description: partial contains small subunit ribosomal RNA, internal transcribed spacer 1, and 5.8S ribosomal RNA
Source: RNAcentral